UCUCUGCUUUCAAAUCUUUCUGUUUGAACCCGUCGAACUGGAACUUAUUGGUAAUAUUAAUUAUUUGGAAAACAAAAGGUCCUGGAAUGGAGUAUUUUUUAAUCAACAGCAUUGUCCUAUAUUAGUUAUAAACAAAGUUGAAUUCUUUGAUUCGCUGUUUUACGUCAUGCUCGCUAACAAAUUGAAACUUAUUUUUAGUCCAGAUUUUUAGUAUUCGUAUUGUUAUCUUAGAAAGUCUUACGGAUUAAAAUACUACAAUAGGUAACAAUUUGACAAUUUAGUAGUGUCAACCCUGUGAUUAUGACCCG
This 308-nucleotide long non-coding RNA is filed under the name Mytilus galloprovincialis (Mediterranean mussel). The record is from RNAcentral. Lineage: Eukaryota; Metazoa; Mollusca; Bivalvia; Mytilida; Mytilidae.